UAAGGCUAUUCAACCUUCAUAACAUGAGAACAAAACUUUUCUAAAAGUUCUCCACAGUCGUCACUCAUACAGUAAUUGAAAAUAUAAAUCCAUGCGUACUUCUUCCCACGGAAAACACAUGAACGCUUCACCCAAUUUGACAACACAUAUCUACGACUAUUGUGUAAAAAUUCCCAAGUCCUAGCAUACUUCUUUUGUGAAACACUUUUCUUUAACACAAUUACUAUUAUUUUUACAGGAAUGAUGUUUUCAAAAAUAAUAGGAGUACACCACUGCCCCUGAAACAUAGCAUUCGUUUCCCGAAUAAGGGUCUUGGAGUGUCGCAUAGAGCUUACAACCUUACAAGGAACGACCAAGCAAGAAAUAUACCUACACGUCCAGGAACUACACACCAGGAUCCUAUUUCACCUAGGUAGGAUCACAUGAUUUUAGUCCCCAGUAAGACAUAAUUCGUAUGUCCGUUCCACACUUGCGUUUUAUAACUGAUUUUCACAACUCUAUCAAUUAGUCAUCCACAUUCCAUGUGGAAAAUUCAACAACAAACGCAGCCAUAACCUCUGCAAGAUGACCGAUUUUUACGCCUAGGGUAAAUUUGGAUUUUGAAAGUGAUGUUGACGAUGACUCAGACUACGACCCGUUCUUAGAUUAUUACGAUUUAGGUGAUACAAUGAUUGAGUGUAGACAUUGUAAGAUGUUGAUGUGGUAUCAAGAGAGAAUGGACAAACAUAAACAUGCAGAAAAUCCCAAAUACAAAUUAUGUUGUGGUAAUGGCAAAGUUGAACAACCUUCCUUGAAACAUCCUCCAAGUUUGCUGUCCCAUUUUCUAUUUGAUCAAGAUUCCAAAGAUAGUAAGAAUUUCCAAUCACAAGGAAAAACAUACAACAUGAUAUUUACGUUCACUUCACUCGGUGCUAAAUUGGACAACAAAUUCAAUUAUGGAACGGGUCCACCUACAAUAAGAAUCCAAGGUCAAACUUGUCACCGCAUUGGGAGUUUAUUGCCACCUAAAGGAACAAAAAAAUUAUCGAUCCUAGCAUCGUACAUAAGCUAUAUGAUAUGUUGUACACUCAUAACACACAUGCCAAGAGUUUCCUCAUGGUAAGACAGAGACUUAAUCAAGGGAGUGUACACAACUUGAAACUCAUACUUAUUUCAAAUAAAUCUACAGAUGGAAGAGUGUACAACCAACCAACUAUUUCGAAGGCUACUGCUUUAAUUGUUAUGAUGUUGACACGGCCGAAGAAAGAGACAUUAUUAGGCAAAGACAAUGGGGAUCACUAAAACAUAUUCAUGAAUUUCAUGCAAUCUAUUUGGCUUACCAUAUCCAUUGAUAUUUUCAUAUGGAGAAGAUGGAUAUAGACCAAAUGUUGCUCACUGAGAUCUCAAUAUCUACGACGAUAGCCCAAGAAAUAGACUUACUAUUCGAGAGUGGUUAACUUUUCGAAUCCAUACAAGAUGUGAAGAAGGUAAAACUAUUUUUUCGUCUAGGAUAUUGUUUCAACAGUUUUUGGUGGACGGUUACAUCAUGCUAGGGGGAACGAUUGAAAUGGCUUCGUAACAAUCAAUCUAAGCCUCAAGUUUCAAAGUAUUGAAGUCUUAAUGAAGAAGGAGACCAAAGUCAAGCAAUUGAGUCAAGCACAAGAAAAUGAAUCAUCUUACCUUCAUCUUAUGUUGGUAGUAGGAGAUUUAUGGAUCAACUAUACUAUGAUUGAAUGAUCAUUUGUAGUUAAGUCGAAUUUCUAGAUUUAUUCAUUACUUUCACCUGCAAUCCAAAUUCGCUUGAGAUUCAGCGAGUUUA
Molecule: RNA transcript, 1798 nt
Organism: Lathyrus oleraceus (garden pea)
Lineage: Eukaryota; Viridiplantae; Streptophyta; Magnoliopsida; Fabales; Fabaceae
Exons: 3
Source: RefSeq, a predicted model, not a curated record